Molecule: ribosomal RNA, 425 nt
Filed under: uncultured bacterium
Lineage: Bacteria
Description: partial 16S ribosomal RNA
Rfam family: Bacterial small subunit ribosomal RNA
Source: RNAcentral
GUAGGGAAUCUUGCGCAAUGGGCGAAAGCCUGACGCAGCCAUGCCGCGUGAAUGAUGAAGGUCUUAGGAUUGUAAAAUUCUUUCACCGGGGACGAUAAUGACGGUACCCGGAGAAGAAGCCCCGGCUAACUUCGUGCCAGCAGCCGCGGUAAUACGAAGGGGGCUAGCGUUGCUCGGAAUUACUGGGCGUAAAGGGAGCGUAGGCGGAUAGUUUAGUCAGAGGUGAAAGCCCAGGGCUCAACCUUGGAAUUGCCUUUGAUACUGGCUAUCUUGAGUAUGGAAGAGGUAUGUGGAACUCCGAGUGUAGAGGUGAAAUUCGUAGAUAUUCGGAGGAACACCAGUGGCGAAGGCGACAUACUGGUCCAUUACUGACGCUGAGGCUCAAAAGCGUGGGGAGCAAACAGGAUUAGAUACCCGGGUAGUCC